This 1823-nucleotide long non-coding RNA is filed under the name Neodiprion pinetum (white pine sawfly). RNAcentral's name for it is "uncharacterized LOC124218655". The record is from RNAcentral. Lineage: Eukaryota; Metazoa; Arthropoda; Insecta; Hymenoptera; Diprionidae.
UGAACUCAUGAUGCGACGCGUUCGGUUUCUGGGGAAAACCGGAGAUCCUUGAGCGCAAAUUGCACACUUAUCAUAUGUGCAAAUACGAAUAGAUGCCGGGGAUAAACAGAGGUAACUACAAACGGGUCAAACAUCAUCUUAAAAAACGACAAUUGUAAAAAUUGCAAAGAUUGUGGUCGUCGCACAACAGCUGCUGACGUGAGCUCAACCGAUAAACAACAAACGAUAAAAUUAACGUUACACUGUGAACCGUGUGCAGUGUACUGGACAUAUUAUCCAUUUAUUGGAGGGUGUUUAGCAAUAUGGCGUCGUCAAAAGUGAUCAGCUGAUCAUCGAUUCAGCUUAUUACACCGAUAUAGAGGCACUGAAGGAUUCUUACUGGCUUUCGGACUGUCGUUUUGAUACAUUGAGUCAAUUGUAAGUGAAAAAUUGGAUCCACAAUUCGGUUUAUCUGCAUGUGACGUUUUUCUUUGUUCACGGUUUAGUUAUUUAGUUCGUAUAUAACUUAUCCAACUAUGAGUAAGCGAAGGAUGGAAUAGUCACGAAUAUAAUAAUACGUUGACGAAGAACAGAAAAGGCUAUAAAGUGGGAAGUUUCGAAAAUUUUGGAACAAAAUUGGUAUCUGGUAUAGGAAUUUGUUCAGAUGUCUUAAUUUUUUGCGACAAAACUGAAGAAAGUAACUAAAUGAAAUCUGCACUAAGGUACAACGCAGUCGAGUACCCGGAAACAUGCCCUCAUGGUUGAAAAGGUGCUGAUUUCAGCAUUAAAAAUGCUUGUACAAUGGAAAAACGGGUUCGGCUGGAAUCCCUAGUGGGAGGUUCAGGAAGAGAUGUUACACGGAAACGACAACGCUAUGAUUGGUCGAGCGCCUGCCCGACCAGUUCGCCAAUGAUUCUGAUCGGUGCACCGGCGUAUACUGGCUUAUCAACGCUGGAUCGACUUAUUAUAAGAUAAAUGCGAGCAUCAGUAUAUUCGACUGUUAGUAUUCCUGCUAAAUGCCGUGAAGUAAGAUCGAAUUUUGCAAGAAUAACAAGUUCUGAUAAGCAUUUUUUGAAAUGGUUGUUGUCACUGCUUUCGUCGGCAUUGGUAUAAAUUAGUGUGUUUUAGUUAGUAUGAUCGUUGUUCAUCUAUGUAAGAUUGCAAGAUUUUUUGUUAUAUUUAAAAUGAAUAUGUGAUUUGUCUUUAUGUCUGUUCUGUUACUAGUGUAGAAUAUGAAUAUGUCUCUAUCCUAGUUACUGAUAAAUGCCAUAAAAUCUACUAUUAUGUUUAUGCUAUGACUUUGUAACUACAUAUUCGAUGCCUAUAAUUGUAAGAAGUGACACCUUGUGUAAUAUAUGUGAAUUAUUUGUGGUAAAAUGUGAAGCUCACUUCUUUGGAUUCUUAAGAGAAGUUUUGAGGAUUUUCUAUUCAGCUGAAAGAAGACGUUGACUGAGAAAUAUGAAGACAGUUGCCCUAAUGGGCUUUAGCGUGUCAACCGAAAUUCGAUGUGCGCUUGCGCUCCCUGAGAUGUUCCAACGGUAGAGUUGAGAACUUAUUGCAGAACAUGAGGGAGUUACCGAUUUUGACAUGAUGCUGGCUGCAUUCACCUUCCGAGUACCAAAGUCUUCGCAAUGGUGAGCCCAAGCCGGUACCUUGCCUCGGAGUACUUACAGACUUGUCGGCGAUGCAAGAAAUUGAUAAUAAGAAUAAAUUUCUUCCAAAAUUCGUAGAAAAACAGUGAUUUAAUUAUAGUAUAGGACCCCGAGAAAAGAAUGUAUACAUAGAUCAUACAUAAUAACAGAUCAGAUGUGAUGAUAAUAAACAGACCGAAACGUAUAUAUGUA